RNAcentral lists this non-coding RNA (95 nucleotides) under Paenibacillus sp. RNAcentral describes it as "Glycine sequence". It matches the Rfam family "Glycine riboswitch aptamer". From Rfam's summary of the family: This family represents the bacterial glycine riboswitch. Lineage: Bacteria; Bacillati; Bacillota; Bacilli; Caryophanales; Paenibacillaceae. RNAcentral also lists the same sequence under 1 other name. The record is from RNAcentral.
AUGAUGGCAGCGGGAGAGAUUACUGAUGGACAGGUAACGCCGAAGGAGUAAGCCUUUCAGGUGAAUCUCUCAGGCAAAAGGACCUUUGUCGGACG